UACAAAUCCGUCUGAGUCGUAUAUCAACACGACCAGAGACAUUACACUGACAGUUACUCUAGAAAAUCUCUAUCUAAACAAACCCGAGGAUCUCAAAACUCUUUGCUUGUCCGCUAGAUGACUCAUUACUGUCUAUGCCUCAUCAUUUCCAGUUUGAUUUAAAGGAAAAGAUUGCAACUCCGCCCGAUCUGGAAAGGCAAUGGGAAUGCACGUUGCAUAGGUAGUAGCACGUCUUGAAAUAGCUUCGGCUAGGCACUGGCGUUGACCAAUGGAUUAGAGAGAUAACGGUCAAGUAACAACGGACGCAAUAGCAAUAGACAUAGGAAGGGAAUGAUACUUUAUUCAGUUGUCUUCCUGUGUGCUGCGUACUGUGUUUAUCAGCUCACUGUAAAUAUUUUUGUCUGAAAUGUGGCACGAGUGGAAGGCUAAGCAUCGCUUAUAAUGUAAGGCGGACUCGCUGGCCUAGUUUCACAAAGACUCUUGGUUUGCUACAAUUGCUACAAAGCAUCGUUUGCUGGGUCCGUUAAUGAGGCAAUCGUUUUAAAAUACUUGAGUAAUAGGAAAAGUCAACUUCCAUAUUACUUAACAAUCCCAUGUUGUGUAAAUAUUCAUAAUUCAGCACACUGUGUAGUUAUAACACAUUACACUCCACCGUGUCCGUUACUUAAGUUGCAUUUUUCACCAAUUCAUUAUGAAAAGUGCGGGGGUCUACUAAUGAACACAUCGAAGUCUUUUGUAGCCACUUUCAGUUUUUAUUUCUUUCCAUCAAGUUCCAAUGCCAUAUUCCUCUGGCUGUUUCAACUAUCCAGGGUGCUCAGAAUCGACUCGGAAACCGGACGCGGAGACGUUUUACACCGGAAAUUGAAAAUCUCUUUCAUUCGCACAGGAAAGUGGGGGAAUCCUGGCGAGACCAAAUCACAAUGAAACGAUCAGGAAAUCGGCAUUAAACCAACGUUUUGGAGCGGAUUGACAAGUUGUUUUUUUAAACAAUCUACGUACGCGAGAUUCUAUUUCUUCAUUCGCCUGUCUUCAAUGAAUGCCUCAGUCGACGAGGGAGGCUGUAAUAAUAAAUCUCUACAUGAUUCAACAAGGAAUUGAGUCUAGUAUCCAUGCCACAUCCGUAUACGUAGGCCUACGUACUAGAUGCUACAGUGCUUACUUUGAGCAGAAAAAGAGGGAGGCAGCCAAGAAGCGGGUGGAUGGCUGCAUCAGGAGACUAGCGACGGUUAAAGACGAAGCACUGAAGUUUUUUGCGGUCAUCAAACAGAUCUGCGCCUAUCAAAGUCUUUCAAGCGUCAAUAUCUUUCAGUCCUUUGAAAGACCUUUGAAGAUCCUCGGCGGCGCCAUUUUCUCCCCACCCAAGCCUUCCACCUUCUGCCGCGUCCCCCUCUUUUUUUUUUUUUUUUUUUUUCCCUUUUUUUUCUUUCUCUUGGGUCUCUUCACAAGGCAAUUGCCCAUACACACCAAAUCAAUCCGCAUCAAAACAUCCAGCGACAUCUUUUUCAUCCACCCUCCACGCUCAUUUCUUUCUCUUACAACCGAGCGCGUCCUCUUUUUUUUCAUUUUAUUAUUACUUUCCUUGUUCUUCUUCUUUACGGCCGAUGGAUACCUUUCGCAGCCGUACUUACCGACAUGUCAUACUCGUCUCAUUAGCAUGGCGCUCUUUUUUCUCUCUAUGUGUCCUUCUGUCUCGCCCGCACAAUGUCUGUCCAUGGCUCCAUGCAAUCAGUCUAUCUUUAGGCUUUUCUCUAAUUAUAAUUUGAUUCGUGUAUGGCUUGACAUUGAACACGGAAGUUAAAAUUGCA
This is a long non-coding RNA of Daphnia magna, 1805 nucleotides long. RefSeq lists it as uncharacterized. The record is from RefSeq and is a predicted model, not a curated record. The transcript is spliced from 5 exons. Lineage: Eukaryota; Metazoa; Arthropoda; Branchiopoda; Diplostraca; Daphniidae.